RNAcentral lists this ribosomal RNA (468 nucleotides) under uncultured bacterium. RNAcentral describes it as "partial 16S ribosomal RNA". It matches the Rfam family "Bacterial small subunit ribosomal RNA", at positions 28 to 507 of the family's 1533-position model. The record is from RNAcentral.
GACGAACGCUGGCGGCGUGCUUAACACAUGCAAGUCGAACGGAAAGGCCCUGCUUUUGUGGGGUGCUCGAGUGGCGAACGGGUGAGUAACACGUGAGUAACCUGCCCUUGACUUUGGGAUAACUUCAGGAAACUGGGGCUAAUACCGGAUAGGAGCUCCUGCUGCAUGGUGGGGGUUGGAAAGUUUCGGCGGUUGGGGAUGGACUCGCGGCUUAUCAGCUUGUUGGUGGGGUAGUGGCUUACCAAGGCUUUGACGGGUAGCCGGCCUGGGAGGGUGACCGGCGUCAUGAGGACUGAGGGACGGCGCAGACUCCUACGGGAGGCAGUAGUGGGAAAUAUUGCACAGUGGGCGGAAGCCUGAUGCAGCGACGCCGCGUGCGGGAUGACGGCCUUCGGGUUAUAAACCGCUUUCGCAUGUGACGAAGCGUGAGUGACGGUAAUGGGUCAAGAAGCACCGGCUAACUACGUG